Molecule: long non-coding RNA, 3103 nt
Filed under: Sus scrofa (pig)
Lineage: Eukaryota; Metazoa; Chordata; Mammalia; Artiodactyla; Suidae
Description: lncRNA (ENSSSCG00045018571.1)
Source: RNAcentral
GCCGUACCCACAGCAUAUGGAGGUUCCCAGGCUAGGGGUCAAAUCGGAGCUACAGCUGCCGGCCUACGCCACAGCCACAGCAAUGCCAGAUCCGAGCCUUGUCUGCUCCUUACACCACAGCUCAUGGCAACAGAGGCCAGGGAUUGAACGCACAUCCUAAUGGAUCCUAGUUGGAUUCAUUUCUGCUGUGCCACGAUGGGAACUCCCCUUCCUUUUUCCAACGGUUGAGUGUCUCCUGGGAUAUGCAUGCUCUGUUCCAUUUCUUUCUUUUUUUAAACAGACCCAGAGUCCCAGAAGAAGUUAGAUGUUGUGCUUACAAACUGCAUACACAUGGGCAUCAUGGAAGUGCAAAACUCCAAUAAAGAAAUAAGCACAUGGUUUCUUAGUUCAUUUUUUAUGUUAAUGAUGAAAGUGCAGGUAAGAAAAUAAGAACUAGCCUUAAGGACAUAUAAGUGAUGGAAAGAGAAGGAAAAUUCUAGGUGGAGCCCAGAGAAGUUAUCAUUCUCUUCCUAUCAACAUUGGGUGGAUGUGCAGGCCCCUUGCUUUAUAGCAGCAGAACAAAAUAAAAUGACUGAUGAUCAAAGAAACUCACAGAUGCCUACAGAAUUAAAUUAUCAACCCACUUUGACAUUUUGCAAGUAUAAAUAGAAACAGAAAUAACUAGAGGUGUAGAAAUAGUUGAAGAAGCCCCUCAACAUUAAAUUCUAAACUUCAAAUUUGAAACACCUAGAGAUUGGGGUUUCUCUGUAAUCUAUAAAUCAGCCUUGAUUCAAAGAAAUAGCCAGGCUGGCAUGGGGGAGCAACUUUAGAUCUGGCCAGCACAGGACCUGGGGAGGCUCAGUAGAGACCCACUAUCUGUUAAUAAGGAAGAAGACCCAAAACAGAGCCAGGACAAAUAAUUCUGUCAUUUUAAUGUCAAAAGUGUCCAACCAUUCUUUAUUGUGAAAAGGAUACAUAAUUAAGCUGUAUCUUUAUAUUAUUAUUUUUUUUUUACUAUUUGGCAUAUUAUUCAUUCCCAGUGAUGUUUCAUUUCUCCUCAAAUGAUUCUUUUGCAACCUUUAGAAAGCCCUGCAAUUUCCUUUUCAUUUGGCCGAACGUGGCAGACACAGGAGGGAGAGCUUCUAAAUCCUGUUGCUCAGAAUAUGGCUUUUUUUUUUUUUUUUUUUUUUGUCUUUUCAGGGUCGCACCCACUGCAAAUGGAGGUUCCCAGGCUAGGGGUCUAAUCGAAGCUACAGCUGCCAGCCUACACCAGAGCCACAGCAACGCCAGAUCUGAGCCACGUCUGUGACCUAUAGCACAGCUCAUGGCAAUGCCUGAUCCUUAACCCACUGAGUAAGGCCAGGAAUCGAACUCAAAACCUCGUGGUUCCUCGUGGUUUCUGCUGCGCCACAACGGGAACUCCCAGAAUAUGUUUAAAAAAAAAAAAAAAAGCAGGACCCCAGACAGGUGUGUAACUGUUUGAAUGGGCUAUCUCUUAUACAACUAGGAAUAAGACCUACUUGGAAGAAGUUUUGCUCUAGAAACUGUUGAUGCUCUUGACUUAUUGAGGGGAGUUCCAUAAAAUGGCCAUUACCAACUGUAUAAGACAAAACUCGUGUUAGCUCAAAGGUUAGUCCCUGUUUUAAAAUCCCAAAAAAGAUAAACCCUAUUAUGGGCCAUUUCCACUUUCCCCACUGCUUCCCUGACAAGAGGUAAUGUGGGUCUGAGGAGGAAACUGAAGAUUCAUGGCCCAAAUAGAGCAGAAGUCUUGUCUUGUGUAACUGCCCAAAUGCUAAUACAAACUCAUUGUUGCUCAAUUUGUUCUUUAAAAGCUGUGCUUUAUUCUAUUAACUUUGAUUUGCCCUCUUAGCUUCUGUCAUUUUUCCAUACUGGACUGUCCUGGCAAUCCUCCUCACCUUUCUGUCUGGGUUUCAGUCUCUGACAGGGGCUCUGUGCCUAGGUCUCCCUGCCAGGAUCCAUCUGGCCCAUCGGUAACUAACAGUCAUCUUAGCCUUGUCCAGUGGUGAUAGCUUCACCCGUAGAUUUAACUGAGACAAAACUGAACAACUUACCAUAAAUAUCGGAGUCAAGAAAAAAUUAUUAGGAGACUAGGCGUACAUAAGUUUAGAUAAAAACAGAGAAGGCAGGACGACAGUGUGGUCCAAGUAAUUUUCUCUGUGCAAAGAUGCCUUCUAUUUAGUAUAACUAAACACAUUACUUCUGGGGAAAAAAAAAAACAACAACAAAAAUUCACACUCCAAAAAAGGGAGAAAAACUAGUAUUGAGAGCAAUUAUGAGUAUGACUUAAAAUGUCACUUUUUAUCUGUUGUACAGGAGAGUAAAUAUCAUGAAAACUUAACCAUGAUAAGGAAAAAAAAAACACUUAACCAUGAUGAAAUAUUUGUCAAACAGUAUUUGUUCCUAUAUUAAGAAAUUAAUACCCACAUGCACAACUUUGAGUUGAUAGAAACUAAAAACUUAAGGUAAUAGAAUUAAGGAUUUCAUUUUCCUUUUUAGAGUUUUAUAUAUUUUUCAAAUUUUUUGGAAAGGCGUUUUGGAAAUAGAAAAAAAAAAAAGGUCUAAAGCUAAAAACUCUUUAACGUAAUUUUUCUUACUGAAUAGUUAUUAUCCUGUUCAUGAGACAUGACCAUAAUAACUCAAAGCCACUAUUUUUUUUUUUUUUUAAUUUGGUUGAACCUGCAGCAUGCAGAAAUUCCCAGGCCAGGGACUGAACCCAUGCCACUGUAGCAACCACAACCACUGCAGUGACAACAUUGGAUGCUUAAACCACUGAGCCAUAUGGGAACUCCUCAAAGUUACUAUUGACUUCAUCAGGAUGAGGCUAGCUAUGUGCUUAAGUAAUAAUUGAAGUAAGGAUGAGAAAUAAAUUUUACGGAAAGUAAGAAUAAUACUAUGCCUUAUCUAUAAGAUCCCAAACCAGAAUAUAUUUGAAAAUAUUUGAGUGACUGACUUUUUUUUUUUUACUUUUCGUCUUCAUUAGUGAUACUAUGCAGCUAUCUAUAGUUUGGUAUCUCUAACCACCAGAUAACAGUUGUGAUGACCAAAAAUGCCUCUAGACACUGCCAAAUGUCCUCUGGGGUAGGAGAGAAAUCACCCCUGGUUG